AACGUAGGUUCCGAGCGUUAUCCGGAUUUACUGGGCGUAAAGCGCGUUCAGGCGGUUUGGCAAGUCGGGCAUGAAAUCUCUCGGCUCAACCGGGAGAGGUUGUCCGAUACUGCUGGACUUGAGGGCAGUAGAGGGUGGUGGAAUUCCGGGUGUAGUGGUGAAAUGCGUAGAUAUCCGGAGGAACACCAGUGGCGAAAGCGGCCACCUGGACUGCACCUGACGCCGACACGCGAAAGCUAGGGGAGCGAACGGG
Molecule: ribosomal RNA, 253 nt
Filed under: uncultured bacterium
Lineage: Bacteria
Description: partial 16S ribosomal RNA
Rfam family: Bacterial small subunit ribosomal RNA
Source: RNAcentral